RNAcentral lists this non-coding RNA (144 nucleotides) under Schistosoma mansoni. The record is from RNAcentral. Lineage: Eukaryota; Metazoa; Platyhelminthes; Trematoda; Strigeidida; Schistosomatidae.
CCCAACCGUUGCUGCUACCUCGACGUGGUGGUCGGGCUUGCCUAUCGUGAUGACCAAACCGAGUUAUAUUGGCUGGAACAUAUGUUCCUGUAAGUUCUACCAUGCCAGGCAGGUCGACUGGAGGACGGUAAGACUAAAAGCAGC